RNAcentral lists this ribosomal RNA (636 nucleotides) under Claviceps digitariae. RNAcentral describes it as "eukaryotic LSU rRNA". It matches the Rfam family "Eukaryotic large subunit ribosomal RNA", at positions 1 to 658 of the family's 3401-position model. Lineage: Eukaryota; Fungi; Ascomycota; Sordariomycetes; Hypocreales; Clavicipitaceae. The record is from RNAcentral.
UUGACCUCGAAUCAGGUAGGAAUACCCGCUGAACUUAAGCAUAUCAAUAAGCGGAGGAAAAGAAACCAACAGGGAUUGCCCCAGUAACGGCGAGUGAAGCGGCAACAGCUCAAAUUUGAAAUCUGGCCCCCCGGGGCCCGAGUUGUAAUUUGCAGAGGAUGCUUUUGGCGAGGCGCCUUCCGAGUUCCCUGGAACGGGACGCCAUAGAGGGUGAGAGCCCCGUCUGGUCGGACGCCGAGCCUCUGUAAAGCUCCUUCGACGAGUCGAGUAGUUUGGGAAUGCUGCUCUAAAUGGGAGGUAUAUGUCUUCUAAAGCUAAAUACCGGCCAGAGACCGAUAGCGCACAAGUAGAGUGAUCGAAAGAUGAAAAGCACUUUGAAAAGAGGGUUAAACAGUACGUGAAAUUGUUGAAAGGGAAGCGCUUGUGACCAGACUUGGGCCCGGCGGAUCACCCAGCGUUCUCGCUGGUGCACUCCGGCGGGCCCAGGCCAGCAUCAGCUCGCGCCGGGGGACAAAGGCGGCGGGAACGUGGCUCCCCCGGGAGUGUUAUAGCCCGCCGCGCAAUGCCCUGGCGCGGGCUGAGGACCGCGCAUCUGCAUGGAUGCUGGCGUAAUGGUCAUCAGCGACCCGUCUUGAA